RNAcentral lists this unclassified non-coding RNA (332 nucleotides) under soil metagenome. Its description in RNAcentral is "partial contains 5.8S ribosomal RNA, internal transcribed spacer 2, and large subunit ribosomal RNA". The stretch from base 1 to 120 matches the Rfam family "5.8S ribosomal RNA", at positions 35 to 154 of the family's 154-position model. The record is from RNAcentral.
GAUGAAGAACGUAGCGAAAUGCGAUAAGUAAUGUGAAUUGCAGAGUUCAGUGAAUCAUCGAAUCUUUGAACGCACAUUGCGCCCGCUAGUAUUCUGGCGGGCAUGCCUGUUCGAGCGUCAUUUCAACCAUCAAGCCCUAGGCUUGCGUUGGAGCCCUGCGGCUGCCGCAGGCUCCCAAAUCCAGUGGCGGGCUCGUCGUCGUACCGAGUGCAGUAAACAUCCUCGCUCAGGGAACGUGACGGGUUCUUGCCGUGAAACCCCCCACAUAUCAAGGUUGACCUCGGAUCAGGUAGGAAUACCCGCUGAACUUAAGCAUAUCAAUAAGCGGAGGA